AUACGAAGGGGGCUAGCGUUGUUCGGAAUUACUGGGCGUAAAGCGCACGUAGGCGGAUAUUUAAGUCAGGGGUGAAAUCCCAGAGCUCAACUCUGGAACUGCCUUUGAUACUGGGUAUCUUGAGUAUGGAAGAGGUAAGUGGAAUUCCGAGUGUAGAGGUGAAAUUCGUAGAUAUUCGGAGGAACACCAGUGGCGAAGGCGGCUUACUGGUCCAUUACUGACGCUGAGGUGCGAAAGCGUGGGGAGCAAACAGGAUUAGAAACCCGAGUAGUCC
RNAcentral lists this ribosomal RNA (274 nucleotides) under uncultured bacterium. RNAcentral describes it as "partial 16S ribosomal RNA". It matches the Rfam family "Bacterial small subunit ribosomal RNA", at positions 523 to 796 of the family's 1533-position model. The record is from RNAcentral.